Molecule: unclassified non-coding RNA, 27 nt
Filed under: Mus musculus (house mouse)
Lineage: Eukaryota; Metazoa; Chordata; Mammalia; Rodentia; Muridae
Description: oocyte_clustered_small_RNA3230
Source: RNAcentral
AUCGGCUAUCAGUGUAGAUAUUGAUGG